UAGGGAAUCUUCCACAAUGGGCGAAAGCCUGAUGGAGCAACGCCGCGUGUGUGAUGAAGGGUUUCGGGCUCGUAAAACACUGUUGUAAGAGAAGAAUGACAUUGAGAGUAACUGUUCAAUGUGUGACGGUAUCUUACCAGAAAGGAACGGCUAAAUACGNGCCAG
This 165-nucleotide ribosomal RNA is filed under the name uncultured bacterium. Its description in RNAcentral is "partial 16S rRNA". It matches the Rfam family "Bacterial small subunit ribosomal RNA", at positions 355 to 511 of the family's 1533-position model. The record is from RNAcentral.